CUGUAAGGGGAAUGAUGUACUAUUAUAGGGCUCUCAAGAUGCUUACUUUUCUUGAUUCUGCAUCUGAGAUGGACAUAAG
This 79-nucleotide small nucleolar RNA is filed under the name Vitis vinifera (wine grape). RNAcentral's name for it is "Small nucleolar RNA J33". It matches the Rfam family "Small nucleolar RNA J33". Rfam says of the family: J33 is a member of the C/D class of snoRNA which contain the C (UGAUGA) and D (CUGA) box motifs. RNAcentral also lists the same sequence under 1 other name. The record is from Rfam by way of RNAcentral. Lineage: Eukaryota; Viridiplantae; Streptophyta; Magnoliopsida; Vitales; Vitaceae.